AGUGAACGCUGGCGGUAGGCCUAACACAUGCAAGUCGAACGGCAGCACAGUAAGAGUUUGCCCUUACGGGUGGCGAGUGGCGGACGGGUGAGGAGUACAUCGGAAUCUACUUUUUCGUGGGGGAUAACGGAGGGAAACUGACGCUAAUACCGCAUAUGACCUACGGGUGAAAGCAGGGGAUCUUCGGACCUUUCGCGUUUGAAUGAGCUGAUGUCGGAUUAGCUAGUUGGCGGGGUAAAGGCCCACCAAGGCGACGAUCCGUAGCUGGCCUGAGAGGAUGAUCAGCCACACUGGAACUGAGACACGGUCCAGACUCCUACGGGAGGCAGCAGUAGGGAAUAUUGGACAAUGGGCGCAAGCCUGAUCCAGCCAUACCGCGUGGGUGAAGAAGGUCUUCGGAUUGUAAAGCCCUUUUAUUGGGAAAGAAAAGCAGCAGGUUAAUACCCCGAUGUUCUGACGGUACCCAAAGAAUAAGCCCCGGCUAACUUCGUG
RNAcentral lists this ribosomal RNA (492 nucleotides) under uncultured bacterium. RNAcentral describes it as "partial 16S ribosomal RNA". It matches the Rfam family "Bacterial small subunit ribosomal RNA", at positions 29 to 507 of the family's 1533-position model. The record is from RNAcentral.